RNAcentral lists this ribosomal RNA (478 nucleotides) under uncultured bacterium. RNAcentral describes it as "partial 16S ribosomal RNA". It matches the Rfam family "Bacterial small subunit ribosomal RNA", at positions 28 to 523 of the family's 1533-position model. The record is from RNAcentral.
GACGAACGCUGGCGGCGUGCCUAACACAUGCAAGUCGAACGGUAAGGCCCUUCGGGGUACACGAGUGGCGAACGGGUGAGUAACACGUGGGUGAUCUGCCCUGUACUUCGGGAUAAGCCUGGGAAACUGGGUCUAAUACCGGAUAGGACCACUGCCUGCAUGGGUGGUGGGGGAAAGCUUUUGCGGUGUGGGAUGGGCCCGCGGCCUAUCAGCUUGUUGGUGGGGUGAUGGCCUACCAAGGCGACGACGGGUAGCCGGCCUGAGAGGGUGACCGGCCACACUGGGACUGAGAUACGGCCCAGACUCCUACGGGAGGCAGCAGUGGGGAAUAUUGCACAAUGGGCGCAAGCCUGAUGCAGCGACGCCGCGUGAGGGAUGACGGCCUUCGGGUUGUAAACCUCUUUCAGCACCGACGAAGCGCAAGUGACGGUAGGUGCAGAAGAAGGACCGGCCAACUACGUGCCAGCCGCCGCAGUAA